CCUACGGGAGGCAGCAGUGGGGAAUAUUGCUCAAUGGGGGAAACCCUGAUGCAGCAACGCCGCGUGGAGGAUGAAGGCUUUCGGUGUGUAAACCUCUUUUGUUAGGGAAGAGAAUGACGGUACCUAACGACUAAGCACCGGCUAACUACGUGCCAGCAGCCGCGGUAAUCCGGAGGGUGCAAGCGUUAAUCGGAAUUAAUGGGGGUAAAGGGAGCGUAGGCGGGUUGGCAAGUCAGAAGUGAAAGCCUAGGGCUUAACCCGAGAACUGCCUUGGAAACUGAUAUUCUAGAGUGUGGGAGAGGUAAGCGGAAUUCUUGGUGUAGGGGUGAAAUGCGUAGAUAUCAAGAGGAACACCCAUUGCGAAGGCGGCCUACUGGAGCGUAACUGACGCUGAAGCGCGAAAGCGUGGGGAGCAAACAGGAUUAGAUACCCGUGUAGUC
RNAcentral lists this ribosomal RNA (440 nucleotides) under uncultured bacterium. RNAcentral describes it as "partial 16S ribosomal RNA". It matches the Rfam family "Bacterial small subunit ribosomal RNA", at positions 338 to 795 of the family's 1533-position model. The record is from RNAcentral.